GAUGAACGCUGGCGGCGUGCUUAACACAUGCAAGUCGAACGGAAAGGCCCUGCUUGCCGGGUACUCGAGUGGCAAAGGGUGAGUAAAACGGGGGUGAUCUGCCCUGUACUUUGGGAUAAGCCUGGGAAACCGGGGUUAAUACCGAAAAUGACAAAUGUUUGGAAGGGAUUGUGGAAAGCUUUUGCGGUAUGGGAUAAGCCCGCGGCCCUUCAGCUUGUUGGUGGGGUGAUGGCCUACCAAGGCGUCGACGGGUAGCCGGCCUGGGAGGGUGUACGGCCACAUUAGGACUGAGAUACGGUCCAGACUCCUACGGGAGGCAGCAGUGGGGAAUAUUGCACAAUGGGCGCAAGCCUGAUGCAGCGACGCCGCGUGGGGGAUGACGGCCUUCGGGUUGUAAACUCCUAUCGCAACCGACGAAGCCUUUUGGUGACGGUAGGUUGAGAAGAAGCACCGGCUAACUACGUG
Molecule: ribosomal RNA, 465 nt
Filed under: uncultured bacterium
Lineage: Bacteria
Description: partial 16S ribosomal RNA
Rfam family: Bacterial small subunit ribosomal RNA
Source: RNAcentral